This is a long non-coding RNA of Mustela lutreola (European mink), 2126 nucleotides long. RefSeq lists it as uncharacterized. The record is from RefSeq and is a predicted model, not a curated record. Lineage: Eukaryota; Metazoa; Chordata; Mammalia; Carnivora; Mustelidae. The transcript has 3 exons.
GAGUUUGAAUUAGGUCACGCCCAGCCUUACUGGCAAAUCCCUAGCUGUGACAAGUUGCACGUAGUUGGACGUUUCAGAUGUAUUCCGAUUUUCCUCUGAGCUGUAGGUUUUUAAAGAGAAUGUGUAUUAGUCAGGGUUUGGCCAGGAAAGCAGAUGGCACUCUCCAUUUCAGAUGGAAACGGAUUCCAUUCUGGAGAUGAGGCGCUUACAAAACAGUUGGCAGAGUUGGAAGAGCAAACCGGAUACCAGCUCUCAGAUUUCCUCGAACUUCCAGUGCAAGAGAAAGUGCGGUGAGCGGGCGCACCUGUCUGCAAGAACAAGGACACAGCCGUGUGCCUCUGUGUAACCCGCUGUGACGUGUGUAGUGAACGCUUUUGUGUCUCCCUGUCAUCCUGCUGUCUUGCCGGGGCUCUUAGUUCAACUGUGUGUCUGCGAGGCUCCUCUAGUUGGCAUAUGGGAGGCCACCUUGACCACUCUCCGUACUGUUUGGGUUCUACGGUAUGAAGACACUCUAGGAGGUGGGCCACUUCCAAACAGUUGAAGGCCUGAGUAACACAAGAAUAGCCAUUACCAAACAAGAGAGAAGUCUCCAGCAGAUGGACUUUGGACUACAUCUACACCUUCGGCUGUUGACAGCCUGAAGACCAGACCUGCCUCAUGGGCUCUUCCUGGGGCCGCAGCCUGCCCACCCACGUUGCAGAUUUUGGACUUACCGACAUCUCUAAACCAUGAGCCGAUUCCUUAUAAUACAUUUUUUUCUCUCUAUAUAUACAUCUUAUUUGUUCUGUUUCUCAGGAGGAGGCCUACUACAGCCUGCUUCCUGCCAGAGCCUCGGUUGGUGCCCGCAUCCAUGCCCUCGGGCAGGAGAGAGAUGGGCCUUGUACCCACCGUAGUAGGAAGGAACUUAAAAACCUUGCCUGGAGCUACAGUUCUUUUGGAGCCUUGGAGCUGGAGCUGCUCUCCCUGAAUGGAGAAGCUGGUCUUCCUCCCUGAACCCUCCCUCUUCCUCGGUCACCUGCCAGCUUGGCCCUCAGAACCCCGGAGCCUGGAGAUUGAUCAGGCCGCCCAUGCUGCUCGAGGUGCCUGAGUCCCGAUGUCAGCAGGAGGCGGGGCUCCUCCGUGUACUGGACCUCUCCUUGUAGCCGGGGCACCUGGGAAGGCAUGGGAGGGCAGUCUUUCUGGACAUCCGGGGACCCAGUCCCCCUCUGUCUUAGUCUGCUUGGGCUGCCAUCACAAAAUACCACAGACUCAGUGGCUUCACAGAACUUUAUUUUCUCACUGUUCUUGGAGGCUGGAAGUCCAAGGUCAUGGUUGGGUUCUGGUGAGGGCCCUCCUCCUGGCAUGUACAUGGCUGCCUUCUUGCCAGUGCUCACACGACAGAGAGAGCUGCAGCCAAGUGUCUGGGGUUUCCUUUUAGAAGCACACCACCCCACCAUAGCAGGGCCCUCCCCUCAUGAACUCCCUGAACCUUAAUUUCCUUAAUUAAGGGCCCCAGCUCCAAAUACAGACACAUUGGGGGUUAGGGCUCCAGCAUCCGUGUUGAGAGGGACAUCAUUUGGCCCAUAUGACCCUUGCAGGUGAAUUCUUUCCCUCAAAGGGUCUCUGCCUGGUCCCUAAUACUGCUGGGCUCCCGGAGCCUUUGGAGAAACAGGAAAUGCUCCGAAAGGCUCUCUGGGUACUUUAUACUUAUACUGCCUGUGAAGCACUAGGAAAGCGCCACCCAGAGUUGUCCCCAUCAGUCACACCCGCAGCACCCACCCUGAUGGGCAGGGAAAUCACUGGGGGCAGGGCGGGACUAGGGUUGGGGUCAAGCCUAGGUCAGGGGUAUUUUUUGUCAAGGGACUCAAAGUUCAUACUAAGUCAAGGUGGGGAGCAAAACUCUGUGUGUGUGUUUGGGGGGGGUGGAAGAAAGGCACAUGGCCAGGAGGGCAACAAGCUCAGGUCACCCCAGCUGUCUUUGUAACCUCAGGUCGCCUCCCUCUGUGGGCCUUAAUUUCCUCUUCUGCAAAAGAAAGGCCUGGAUUAGAUCACCCCCCAGGCUGCUUCUAGCCCUGACAUUCUGUGAUUUUCUAAUUUCCUUCAGACUCCAGGGGCCUGCAGACCCCAUGCUAAUGUGCAUGAAUAAA